RNAcentral lists this ribosomal RNA (492 nucleotides) under uncultured bacterium. RNAcentral describes it as "partial 16S ribosomal RNA". It matches the Rfam family "Bacterial small subunit ribosomal RNA", at positions 29 to 507 of the family's 1533-position model. The record is from RNAcentral.
AGUGAACGCUGGCGGUAGGCCUAACACAUGCCAGUCGAACGGCAGCACAGUAAGAGCUUGCUCUUACGGGUGGCGAGUGGCGGACGGGUGAGGAAUACAGCGGAAUCUACUUUUUCGUGGGGGAUAACGUAGGGAAACUUACGCUAAUACCGCAUACGACCUACGGGUGAAAGCAGGAGAUCUUCGGACCUUGCGCGAGUGAAUGAGCCGAUGUCGGAUUAGCUAGUUGGCGGGGUAAAGGCCCACCAAGGCGACGAUCCGUAGCUGGUCUGAGAGGAUGAUCAGCCACACUGGAACUGAGACACGGUCCAGACUCCUACGGGAGGCAGCAGUGGGGAAUAUUGGACAAUGGGCGCAAGCCUGAUCCAGCCAUACCGCGUGGGUGAAGAAGGCCUUCGGGUUGUAAAGCCCUUUUGUUGGGAAAGAAAAGAAGAAGGUUAAUACCCCGCUGUUCUGACGGUACCCAAAGAAUAAGCACCGGCUAACUUCGUG